RNAcentral lists this unclassified non-coding RNA (498 nucleotides) under uncultured Paraglomus. Its description in RNAcentral is "SSU rRNA". It matches the Rfam family "Eukaryotic small subunit ribosomal RNA", at positions 591 to 1092 of the family's 1831-position model. The record is from RNAcentral. Lineage: Eukaryota; Fungi; Glomeromycota; Glomeromycetes; Paraglomerales; Paraglomeraceae.
CCAAUAGCGUAUAUUAAAGUUGUUGCAGUUAAAAAGCUCGUAGUUGAAUUUCAGGCCUGGCUGGACGGUCCGCCCUUCGGGUGAGUACUGUCUGUGGUCGGGUCCUACCUUCUGGCGAAGCGUCAUGGCCUUAACCGGCCGUGGCGGGGAACCAGGACUUUUACUGUGAAAAAAUUAGAGUGUUCAAAGCAGGCAACUCGCUUGGAUACAUUAGCAUGGAAUAAUGGAAUAGGACAAUGGUUCUAUUUGUUGGUUUCUAGGACCGUUGUAAUGAUUAAUAGGGAUAGUUGGGGGCAUUAGUAUUCAAUUGUCAGAGGUGAAAUUCUUGGAUUUAUUGAAGACUAACUACUGCGAAAGCAUUUGCCAAGGAUGUUUUCAUUAAUCAAGAACGAAAGUUAGGGGAUCGAAGACGAUCAGAUACCGUCGUAGUCUUAACCAUAAACUAUGCCGACUAGGAAUCGGGCGAUGUUGAAAAAAUGACGCGCUCGGCACCUCAUG